AACUUUGCGCAGUGGCAAUAUCGUAACCAAUGAAGUUAAUCUGAGGUGCGAUUAUUGCUAGUUGAAAACUUUUAACCAAUACCCCGCCGUUCUGAUGUGAAAUACCAUCAGAAUAGGCAAUUUUUGAGCGUUCCUUUGGGAG
Small nuclear RNA from Bacillus rossius redtenbacheri, 142 nucleotides. RefSeq annotates it as U4 spliceosomal RNA. NCBI's taxonomy places the organism in Eukaryota, Metazoa, Arthropoda, Insecta, Phasmatodea, Bacillidae. The transcript has a single exon. The record is from RefSeq and is a predicted model, not a curated record.